RNAcentral lists this ribosomal RNA (454 nucleotides) under uncultured Prevotellaceae bacterium. RNAcentral's name for it is "bacterial SSU rRNA". It matches the Rfam family "Bacterial small subunit ribosomal RNA", at positions 341 to 792 of the family's 1533-position model. Lineage: Bacteria; Pseudomonadati; Bacteroidota; Bacteroidia; Bacteroidales; Prevotellaceae. The record is from RNAcentral.
ACGGGAGGCAGCAGUGAGGAAUAUUGGUCAAUGGGCGAGAGCCUGAACCAGCCAAGUAGCGUGCAGGAUGACGGCCCUAUGGGUUGUAAACUGCUUUUAUAAGGGAAUAAAGUGAGUCUCGUGAGACUUUUUGCAUGUACCUUAUGAAUAAGGACCGGCUAAUUCCGUGCCAGCAGCCGCGGUAAUACGGAAGGUCCGGGCGUUAUCCGGAUUUAUUGGGUUUAAAGGGAGCGUAGGCCGGAGAUUAAGCGUGUUGUGAAAUGUAGAUGCUCAACAUCUGAACUGCAGCGCGAACUGGUUUCCUUGAGUACGCACAAAGUGGGCGGAAUUCGUGGUGUAGCGGUGAAAUGCUUAGAUAUCACGAAGAACUCCGAUUGCGAAGGCAGCUCACUGGAGCGCAACUGACGCUGAAGCUCGAAAGUGCGGGUAUCGAACAGGAUUAGAUACCCUGGUA